UAGACGGAUGCUCGCAGGUUUGAGCGCUUAGCUGUUAACUAAGAAUUUAAGGGAUCAAGGCCCUUCUGUCUAG
Molecule: transfer RNA, 73 nt
Filed under: Zu cristatus (scalloped ribbonfish)
Lineage: Eukaryota; Metazoa; Chordata; Actinopteri; Lampriformes; Trachipteridae
Description: tRNA-Asn
Rfam family: tRNA
About the family: Transfer RNA (tRNA) molecules are approximately 80 nucleotides in length.
Source: RNAcentral